RNAcentral lists this ribosomal RNA (497 nucleotides) under uncultured bacterium. RNAcentral's name for it is "partial 16S ribosomal RNA". It matches the Rfam family "Bacterial small subunit ribosomal RNA", at positions 28 to 507 of the family's 1533-position model. The record is from RNAcentral.
GAUGAACGCUGGCGGCGUGCCUAAUACAUGCAAGUCGAGCGAACGGACGAGAAGCUUGCUUCUCUGACGUUAGCGGCGGACGGGUGAGUAACACGUGGAUAACCUACCUAUAAGACUGGGAUAACUUCGGGAAACCGGAGCUAAUACCGGAUGAUAUUUUGAACCGCAUGGUUCAAAAGUGAAAGACGGUCUUGCUGUCACUUAUAGAUGGAUCCGCGCUGCAUUAGCUAGUUGGUAAGGUAACGGCUUACCAAGGCAACGAUGCAUAGCCGACCUGAGAGGGUGAUCGGCCACACUGGAACUGAGACACGGUCCAGACUCCUACGGGAGGCAGCAGUAGGGAAUCUUCCGCAAUGGGCGAAAGCCUGACGGAGCAACGCCGCGUGAGUGAUGAAGGUCUUCGGAUCGUAAAACUCUGUUAUUAGGGAAGAACAUAUGCGUAAGUAACUGUGCACAUCUUGACGGUACCUAAUCAGAAAGCCACGGCUAACUACGUG